Molecule: non-coding RNA, 911 nt
Organism: Xenopus laevis (African clawed frog)
Lineage: Eukaryota; Metazoa; Chordata; Amphibia; Anura; Pipidae
Source: the annotation of a RefSeq genome assembly
UUAAUCCAACAACACAACCUGAGAUGAUUCUGUUCUGCUGUUUGCUGUGUCUGUCCCUUACCAUGGGAACCAUGUCAGAAAUCCUUCUCACUCAAUCCAACCCAGAAAUUAAGAAGCCUGGCGAAAGUGUGAAAAUAACCUGUAAAACAUCAGGGUUCACUUUCACUGAUUAUUACAUGACUUGGAUUCGACAAGCCCCACGAGGAGGAUUACAGUGGAUAGGCGGAAUUGAUCCUGAUGAUGGGGAAACUAACUAUUUAUCUUCAUUGGAAGAAAGAUUAACAGUGACUACAGAUAAUUCAAUUAGUACAGUGUACUUAGAGAUCAGCCGUUUGAUGCUGGAAGACACAGCCACAUAUUAUUGUGCUAGACACACAGUGGAAAAAGUCAGGGAACCUCCCAUACAAAAAUAACUAACUGCAAUGACAGCUUAAUAACACAGGAGAGCAGUAAUGUUUGUAAAACAAAUCUGCUGGUAAUAACAUUUCUGAAUCAAAUGCAAUUACUGUAUGAGGGAGGAUAUCAUAAACUACUGUAAUUUAGAAGGCUAUCAAAGCUUUGUAAGGCUGUUAGACAUUACUUUGCGACAAUAUAAAAACAGAAUGCUACAGAUGACUCCUAACAGUCUUACAAAUGUUAGCAUUCACUACAUUAUCAUUUAUAGUCUUAAUUUACAGUAUAACUUGUAGCAAAAAAUCCUGUCCUCCUUACACAACUCUUAGAAUAAAAUAUCCAAGCCCUAAUGUCCUGCAGGUUGGAGCAAAAAUUAUUCUACACAGGGCUGCAUUAAGGCUUUAGAGAUCUUAAAGCAGGUGUGGGCUCUGUAGCCCUCACUCUCAGCUAGGAAAGCCAGGAGUGAAAGAUUAACUUGCAUAAAUAAAAUUGUUUCAGAAAAAGGACUUUUGAGUAGU